UUCAGUAUUCUUCUUUUGAUGAUUGUUGGUGUUUCCUAGGUCUUCCUAGAAAACAAGUGUCAAUACUAUCGAAUUAUCGGUUCAGGUAUAAGGUAUCUGUGUUCUCAAUUUUUCAAAGCUCUAGUGUCAAUUGCAUAUGCUAUCAUUUAAUACCUGAAAUUUCCAUCCAUGGGUUGUCUUAAAAUUGAGAUCAGUAUACCGGGUUACAAUUUCGACCCAUUUACUUACGAAUUAGAGGAUUCUGGUUGUUUUUAUUUCUAAUAGUGACAUGUGUGAAUAACAAUGCGAUGGCUAAAUGUGUUGAAUAGGUGAAAGUCACUCUGCAUUUUAUAUGCUCAAAAUGGUCAAAAGCUCUUUUUGAAGAAAAUCUGACAAGAGAUGUCCGGUUUCUGUUGGAAAUGAACAGUUGGGAAACAUCAAAGUCCAAGUUACAUUCCUAAGACAAACCAACUAACAGUACCAGAUACUAAUGCUCUAAAAAGAAUGUUUUUGUUGCAAAAAGCCGAGGAUAGUAACUAGAGCAGAUAAUCGAUCAUUAAAUACCGUGGGUUGUGGUUAGUUUUAACAGUUCUUUUGAGAGUUGGUGAAAGUUAAGCUUUUACAGUUGUCAUGGUUUGAAGUCUUGAACUUUGUCAUAUAUACUAUGAUCAUAUGUGGCUAUUCAUCA
Erigeron canadensis is the source of this 667-nucleotide long non-coding RNA. RefSeq lists it as uncharacterized. Lineage: Eukaryota; Viridiplantae; Streptophyta; Magnoliopsida; Asterales; Asteraceae. The transcript is spliced from 2 exons. The record is from RefSeq and is a predicted model, not a curated record.